Molecule: small nuclear RNA, 131 nt
Organism: Pygocentrus nattereri (red-bellied piranha)
Lineage: Eukaryota; Metazoa; Chordata; Actinopteri; Characiformes; Serrasalmidae
Product: U4atac minor spliceosomal RNA
Source: Ensembl
ACCUUCCUUGUCUGGGGGUGGAUUGGGGUGGUCAAUGAACGACUAGUGAGAGCAUCCCUGCUGACACCUUACCAACACAUCACGCAUCACCUGAGCGUUUCUGCUCAGGCUACGGUGCAAUUUUUGGAACC